ACCAACAGGGAUUGCCCCAGUAACGGCGAGUGAAGCGGCAACAGCUCAAAUUUGAAAUCUGGCCCUCGGGUCCGAGUUGUAAUUUGUAGAGGAUGCUUUUGGCGAGGUGCCUUCCGAGUUCCCUGGAACGGGACGCCAUAGAGGGUGAGAGCCCCGUCUGGUCGGACACCGAGCCUCUGUAAAGCUCCUUCGACGAGUCGAGUAGUUUGGGAAUGCUGCUCAAAAUGGGAGGUAUAUGUCUUCUAAAGCUAAAUAUUGGCCAGAGACCGAUAGCGCACAAGUAGAGUGAUCGAAAGAUGAAAAGCACUUUGAAAAGAGGGUUAAAAAGUACGUGAAAUUGUUGAAAGGGAAGCGCCUAUGACCAGACUUGAGCCCGGUGAAUCAUCCAGCGUUCUCGCUGGUGCACUUUGCCGGGCCCAGGCCAGCAUCAGUUUGGCGCGGGGGAUAAAGGUGACGGGAAUGUGGCUCCCUCGGGAGUGUUAUAGCCCGCUACGUAAUACCCUGCGCCGGACUGAGGUACGCGCAUUGCAAGGAUGCUGGCGUAAUGGUCAUCAGCGACCCGUCUUGAAACACGGACCAAGGAGUCGUCUUCGUAUGCGAGUGUUCGGGUGUCAAACCCCUACGCGUAAUGAAAGUGAACGCAGGUGAGAGCUUCGGCGCAUCAUCGACCGAUCCUGAUGUUCUCGGAUGGAUUUGAGUAAGAGCAUACGGGGCCGGACCCGAAAGAAGGUGAACUAUGCCUGUAUAGGGUGAAGCCAGAGGAAACUCUGGUGGAGGCUCGCAGCGGUUCUGACGUGCGAAUCGAUCGUCAAAUAUGGGCAUGGGGGCGAAAGACUAAUCGAACCUUCUAGUAGCUGGUUUCCGC
This 865-nucleotide ribosomal RNA is filed under the name Cordyceps javanica. RNAcentral's name for it is "partial large subunit ribosomal RNA". It matches the Rfam family "Eukaryotic large subunit ribosomal RNA", at positions 64 to 961 of the family's 3401-position model. Lineage: Eukaryota; Fungi; Ascomycota; Sordariomycetes; Hypocreales; Cordycipitaceae. The record is from RNAcentral.